AAAAUAUCAAUGACAAGAAUUAGUAAACUUAAAAACAAACUUUAAGAGAGUCAUAUGUUUGCUGGGAGUAUGAUAGUUAUGAUUAAGUUGAAUGGAUCUUCGAGAUGUUUAGAGGAAUUUUAGUAUUCUAAAUCGUAAUUCUUACGUUACAAGAAAGAGAUACAAAGAAUUUUCUUUGUAACAUUAGGUGGUACCGCGAUAUAUUCGUCCUAUAA
RNAcentral lists this non-coding RNA (215 nucleotides) under Clostridium perfringens. Its description in RNAcentral is "T-box sequence". It matches the Rfam family "T-box leader". From Rfam's summary of the family: Uncharged tRNA acts as the effector for transcription antitermination of genes in the T-box leader family. T-boxes are found upstream of many aminoacyl-tRNA synthetase genes and some amino acid biosynthetic genes usually in Gram-positive bacteria. The record is from RNAcentral. Lineage: Bacteria; Bacillati; Bacillota; Clostridia; Eubacteriales; Clostridiaceae.